Molecule: unclassified non-coding RNA, 206 nt
Filed under: Hevea brasiliensis (rubber tree)
Lineage: Eukaryota; Viridiplantae; Streptophyta; Magnoliopsida; Malpighiales; Euphorbiaceae
Source: RNAcentral
GAUAAUUACAUCCUGUAUAGCAGCAGUAAGAGCAUGACCAAUAUGAAGAGCCCCAGUUACAUUUGGAGGCGGAAGAACAAUUGUAAACGGCGGUUUCGAGCUGCUUGCAUCAGCUUCGAAGAAUUUCGAUGAUUCCCACCAAGCGUACCAUGACUGCUCCACUGCGCUCGGAUUGUACUGCUUCGCCAUUUGCCGUGAAAGCCGUU